AGCUACUGUGCCUCCUGUACCCCUCUUCUACCCACAGCUCUGCAGCCUUCUCUGGAUGCUGUUUCAGGCAAACAGCACGUGAAACAAGCCUGCAGCUGUGACUCCUCAGGCAUCGUAUGCACAACGAGGACAUUCAUGCAGCCGGUAAGUUACAUUAGGGACGUGAAAAAUAAACUCGUAAAGCUCAAGCUUUAUGAAAUAAGCUAACGCUUAACUGUUCAGGAGCAGAAGAACUCCCCUACAGACAGCCGGUCUCAUCAUUUUUUCCAUGAGAGUGACUGUUUUGUCUGCCUGAAGCAUCCUGAGCUGGCCAGCCUCCUGCCAGGCACAGCCAGCGGGAUGCUUCUCCUUGCAGCAGCCAGCAGCGGGGGCUGAGCACAGCCGAGCCUGAUUUCUCAGGCUUGCACGGUGACAGAUGUGAGAAAUACAAAAAGGCCCCAGCACGAGCAGCCGGUGGGCUCCGCUUUGCAAAUGCGGGCUGCGCUGGUCCCGUUAGCGCAGCCCAGAGGGUGCUGGGAGGAAAGGAGUUAAAGGUUUCGAUUCGCAGGUUUGCACUGCCAUCCAGUGCGUGUUUUCUGUCACUGCAGGACGAAAUUGGAAACGGCACACUGAAGCAGGAAGAUUUCUGGUUCGCCAGAGAUGUUUUGCUUUCCUCCUUCUUGCCUGUCCUGAAAUUUAAGAAGUUCCUGGUGUGAGCAAAGGACUGAUCUUUUGGAAGGGACAGAUGUGGAGUGUUAUUUAUUUGUAGGCUUGAAGGCCUUUGAUACCAUUUUGUGGCAGAACAUUUUCAUUUUUAUCUCCUUGACCUGGGUUUUUUUCCUUUUUGUGUGUGUUUUGAGUAUAAACAAUGUUACGCAUUCUCAAGUAUAACUAAUAACUCUUGA
Molecule: long non-coding RNA, 884 nt
Filed under: Anser brachyrhynchus (Pink-footed goose)
Lineage: Eukaryota; Metazoa; Chordata; Aves; Anseriformes; Anatidae
Description: lncRNA (ENSABRG00000018370.1)
Source: RNAcentral